Non-coding RNA from Phrynosoma platyrhinos (Desert horned lizard), 72 nucleotides. The record is from the annotation of a GenBank genome assembly. Lineage: Eukaryota; Metazoa; Chordata; Lepidosauria; Squamata; Phrynosomatidae.
GACAGUGUGGUCUAGUGGUUUAAGGGUUGGAUUCGGACUCUGGGGACCAGGGUUCGAAUCCCUGCUUCAACA